UACAGAGGUCUCAAGCGUUGUUCGGAUUCAUUGGGCUUAAAGGGUGCGUAGGCGGCUUGUACAGUCAGACGUGAAAUUCCUGGGCUCAACCUGGGGGCUGCGUUUGAUACGUGCGGGCUUGAGUUCGGAAGAGGGUCGUGGAAUUCCCAGUGUAGAGGUGAAAUUCGUAGAUAUUGGGAAGAACACCGGUGGCGAAGGCGGCGACCUGGUCCGAUACUGACGCUGAGGCGCGAAAGCGUGGGGAGCAAACAGG
This 253-nucleotide ribosomal RNA is filed under the name uncultured bacterium. Its description in RNAcentral is "partial 16S ribosomal RNA". It matches the Rfam family "Bacterial small subunit ribosomal RNA", at positions 524 to 776 of the family's 1533-position model. The record is from RNAcentral.